CCAAAACAUGACUCCACCACCACCUUGCUGACGUCGCAGCCUUGUUGGAACGUCCACCAACCAUCCACUACUCCAUCCAUCUAGACCAUCCAUUGUUGCACAGCACUCAUCAGUGAACAGGACUGUUUGAAAAUUAGUCUUCGUGUAUUUUUCUGCCCAAUGCAGCCAUUUCUGCUUGUGAGCAUUGGUUAGUGGUAGCCGAAUAGAAGCUUUAUGCACAGUUGCAAGACUCUGGAGGACUCUACACCUUGAUGUCCGUGGGACUCCAGAGGCACCAGCAGCUUCAAAUAUCUGUUUUCUGCUAUGUAAUGGUAUUUUAGCAGCUGCUCUCUUGAUCCAAUGCAUGGAUCUGGCAGAA
Molecule: non-coding RNA, 358 nt
Organism: Pelobates cultripes (western spadefoot toad)
Lineage: Eukaryota; Metazoa; Chordata; Amphibia; Anura; Pelobatidae
Source: the annotation of a GenBank genome assembly